ACCCCCCUCCCUCUCUCGCUCUAUAAAUCUUUCCUGGCACUCGGGAAAUUUGUCAGAGCCCGGAGGAUGAAAGAUCAGAGAGGCCAAGCAUCGAUCGACUAGUUGUUUGGCGUUGAGUAAUAUUAUAAACAGACCAGCAUGCCAACAUGUUGCCUUUAUCUGCAUUUGCACCUGCACCUUACUUGUUUCUUUCUUUUGUUUUUGACUCCAAAACCAAAAGUAAGUUUGAAACAUUAAAACAAGCUUGAGGUGCAGGUGCAGGUGCAGGUGAAUGCCAUGUUGGUGUUUUGACACUUGUCGUACUGCCUCUUUACUUUCCUUAAUUUGGUCCCUGUGUGGUAACUCGCAGCUUCAAGCUGUCACAAAUGUACGGGCUUUUUUAUAUCUUCAAGGGAAGGGUUAGAGAACUCUUGUGCUAUAAUCCAAGAGAACAAAUGGGUUUUUCAACAGCGACCGAGUCUGACCAUUAACUUCUUUAUGUAGGUGGCUGGUGUUUAUAGAGGUGAUGAUGAUGAAGACAUCGUGCAGCCACAAAUCCAUGGUUGCGGAAGACUAUUUUAAGGGUUUUUUGGGAGAUCUUUGGUGUACAUGAAGGACGGAUCCAUGAAUAUGCAAGCUGGUGCCUAUCCUAGAUAUAUAGUUCUCGAUCUUCCACUUGGGCGCUAGGGUUUUCAAGUGCUGCUGCUUUGUAGUUUGCUGACGAAGAUGCAUUAAUUUGCGUGGAAAAGGAAAGCCAUAUAUAUAUAUAAGAGAUCUUGGGAUGAAAUUAUCUUCACCAUUCCAUCUCAGCACUCUCAGUUCUAGCUUAGCUUCAUGCAGAGUCAUGGAAACCAAAUUCACAUGCAUAUCAAUUUGGUGCAAUGAAAAACCAGCUCAAGGGAGUAAAACCCAGUAAUAAACUGUGGAACGAUUGUUUGCCAAGGAGGAAUUUCGGGAAGGAGUGCAGGUAAAGAUUAGCUCUCCUCCAUUCUUAAUAGCGAUCGUUGCUUUAUUUGCUACGGAAAAGUGAAGUGCCAAGAGACUUGUUGUCAACAUGGCAUGUACAUAAUCAAUGGUAUUCUUGCAAAGUAAGAGAAGUGAAACCUCAAAUCCCAAUCCCAUAUUCGAUAAUCUUAGAAAAAAUAAAUUAGGCUAGUUGCAUGUAAUUAAUGAAGGAAUUAAAUUAAGACCACAUAUUUGAGAUGAUAUAUUAUCAAGCUAACAUUGUCAUCAAAACAACAUAGACGACAGAAACCAUGCAUGAACUCAAAUUAGGAAACUAAGAAAAUCUCGAUCUAUGUAUGCCAUGCAAAAUAUAAUAGCUAGCGUUCAGAAUAAAGGAGACGACGGUGUUUAGAAAAUAUGCAUCAUUAAUGAAUUAUCAUGGUCCUUAUUCUAUGUUCUGAUAUAAAAGUCAUGUUACUUCAUUAAAUAAUUGAAAUUAAAUUCCCUGUCAUUUGAAUGCAUAAUGCAUAUGUAUAAGAUCAUUCGCUCAUCAAUAGAGAAGUAUUUAUCUCACGAAGAAUACAAACACAAAAUCAAAACAAGUUCAGAAUGGAUCAUCAUGAGAGUAGGAUGUAUUUGAUAUAUACUAGGUUUGAGAGCUUUUCAAACUUGUAUUGUGUUGAUUAUUAAUGAUUUUUCUCCUUGCUUUUGAUCGAUGUAAGCAUAGCUUAAUCCAACAAAAUACUUAAUUGUAUAUUCUUUAUUUUUUGUUUGUU
Long non-coding RNA from Populus trichocarpa (black cottonwood), 1700 nucleotides. RefSeq lists it as uncharacterized. Lineage: Eukaryota; Viridiplantae; Streptophyta; Magnoliopsida; Malpighiales; Salicaceae. The record is from RefSeq and is a predicted model, not a curated record. The transcript has 2 exons.